CAGCAAUGAAAGGGUUGUUUCUUCUAAAGUCCAGCAUGCAAUGAUUUAGUCAAUUCAAAAAGAAUGGGACACUGGCUCUCUAUCUUUCCUCCAUUCGCCUUGACAACUAACAGCAAUGAUGGUGGAUUAAUCAACAGUGUCCUCUAAGCAGUGCUCCCACAGCACACAUAAAUUUGAAGUCUACAUAAGUCUUUCAGGAUGUAGAAGAGUCACAAGGAAUGAACUGGAUAUCUGUUGUGAGAAGGAGAAUGUUACCUGUGUCUUGCAGAAGCCAAACUCUUACCAAGCAGAAAAACCAGAAUCCCUCAGAUGGAAUUUCAUUAUUUGAUCACAUUUUAAAGUCCUAAAAUACCAUUUAUGGGUAAUAAAUGUGAAUUCAAUGCUAUAUUUUGAACUGAAUGCUCUUUUGAAUUAAAACACAAGGUAGGCUCUAAACAACAGGCACAGCAAAGGACUCUCGGAUGGUGACAUGGAUAAAUGCAUGAAAAGACAUGUUUUCCUAUCAAGGAGUUUCUAUUAUUAAAUUUGACCUAUCUAAAUUUUCUUCCAAAUCAUGUUUACAAAUCUUUUUCAAAGGCCACAAUUUCCAAGGCUAUAGUUGUUAGACAAAUAUCUUAUUGAUAAUUCUUCCCACUGUGAUUUGUAUGUAUCAUAGACACCACCACCAUUUUUUUCAUGAUAAUCAAUCCAUUUUAUUAGAUGGUGUGCUCCUCUAAUUUUUCCAUUUUCAUUGUCAACUGACCAAGAAAAGGUGCUUGUCAAACUCCUAGAUGCACACAAAUCCCCAUCCUCCUUGUUAAAAUGCAGAUGUGGACUCAGUGGGUCUGAGAUGGGCCUGAGAUUCUGCACGUCUAACAAGCUGCCAGGAGAUGCCCAGGCUGCUGGUCCACAGACCACACUUUCGGAAGUAAAGUUUAGAAAGCCAUGAGAAAAACAGGAAAAUUCAAAAUGCUAUUAGAGAUAGUGCUUGAUUUAAUUUGUUUCCCCCUUAAAACAUUUCCAGUGCCUUUUCUUCUUUACAAGCCUUUUUUUCUCAGAUAAAUGGAAGUAAUAUAUAAUACAGAUAUCACCUAGAAAUACUGAUUUUACAAAAGCUUUCAGUUAUCUGGAGGACUAAUCAUUUGGCAACAAAGUAACAAACAUAAAAAUAAAGGUGAUUCCACUCAAACUUCAUUUGGUGACUCGUGCAUGUAAUUUUGCAGUCACAUAUUUUCUGAAGUAACUCAACAUCUUCUUAUACAUCAACAUCUUCUUAUUUGUUUGACCUGGAGGAAAAUUAAUUUUAACAAUCAACAUUCUGAAGGAGUGUCCUUCCAAUGAAAGGUGACAAAGGCACAUGCACAGGGACUGUGAUGACGGCUGGGUAACCACACAAUGGGAUGCGGCUCGACACACUGGCAGUGGAAGGAGGGAGCAGAGGAGAGGACAGUGCUCACGUUCUCAGGCGGGGCGGCGUGUGGACGGUGGUGGCAUUUGCUGCAUGGUGGCCACAGAAGCAUCAUGGGAGAGAGAGCAAGUCAGGCCCUAAGGGGCUAAUAAGCUGCCUAUAGGGAGCUCUGAAGUAGAGAGCUGAACAUCCAUGUCAGGAGGCCAGGAGCGGGCUCUGCAGAUCAUCAGAAUUGGAACUGUGUCAUAACCUUUCUUAAACACACCCCUUUCUUUCAACUGAGGUAUGUUCUGGUCAUAAAGUUUUAAGCCAAGGUAAGUUGUAACACCAAUAUUCAGUCAGAUUAUACUCUCCUGAUACUCGUACCUUUAAUUUGUCUUUAGGUAGAGACUUCUCUCAUAUUUGGGAAGAAUAAAUAAGUUUGUAGUGAGAAUCUUAUCUUUUUAAGGCAAAAAUCUUUUUUUUAUUUGCUCUGUUUCCAUCAAUCCAACAAAUACUUAUUGAGCAUCUACUGAAUGUAUGGCUCUGCACUACCUUAUGUGGGGAAUAAAUUAUAUAACGGUCCUUCCCUAAAAGAGCUAACAGCUCCUAAGUUAAUUAAGAAGGACCAGAAGCAUCAAUGCCAGGCAGUGUGGUUUUAAAAACCUAUUCAGCAGGUGCAUACCAGCAGAGUGGGGACUGGUUUGUCAGCAAAGGCUCCUGUGCUGAGUGCCAAGAACACUUUCUGAAACCGGAUGCAAGACUCUGAACAAAUGUGAGCAUUCAUGCAUUUUUAAAAAGAAUCAAAUGCAUGAAUUUGGAAUCUCAUGGCAUUCCCAAAAAGAUCCACAGCACACAAAAAAGGUUAUGAAUCCUGUUUGAGUUAAGCAACUCUGAGUUAGAGAGAAAAAUUAUUUUGACUCUAGAAAUGGUUA
RNAcentral lists this long non-coding RNA (2301 nucleotides) under Pan troglodytes (chimpanzee). RNAcentral's name for it is "long non-coding RNA NONPTRT017540". Lineage: Eukaryota; Metazoa; Chordata; Mammalia; Primates; Hominidae. The record is from RNAcentral.